This 464-nucleotide ribosomal RNA is filed under the name uncultured bacterium. Its description in RNAcentral is "partial 16S ribosomal RNA". It matches the Rfam family "Bacterial small subunit ribosomal RNA", at positions 28 to 506 of the family's 1533-position model. The record is from RNAcentral.
GACGAACGCUGGCGGCGUGCUUAACACAUGCAAGUCGAACGGAAAGGCCCCCUUGUGGGGUACUCGAGUGGCGAACGGGUGAGUAACACGUGAGUAACCUACCCUUGACUUUGGGAUAACUUCAGGAAACUGGGGCUAAUACCGGAUAGGAGCUCCUGCUGCAUGGUGGGGGUUGGAAAGUUUCGGCGGUUGGGGAUGGACUCGCGGCUUAUCAGCUUGUUGGUGGGGUAGUGGCUCACCAAGGCUUUGACGGGUAGCCGGCCUGAGAGGGUGACCGGCCCCAUUGGGACUGAGAUGCGGCCCAGACUCCUACGGGAGGCAGCAGUGGGGAAUAUUGCACAAUGGGCGGACGCCUGAUGCAGCAACGCCGCGUGCGGGAGGACGGCCUUCGGGUUGUAAACCGCUUUCGCCUGUGACGAAGCGUGAGUGACGGUAAUGGGUAAAGAAGCACCGGCUAACUACGU